GAUGAACGCUGGCGGCGUGCCUAAUACAUGCAAGUCGAGCGAACAGACGAGGAGCUUGCUCCUCUGACGUUAGCGGCGGACGGGUGAGUAACACGUGGAUAACCUACCUAUAAGACUGGGAUAACUUCGGGAAACCGGAGCUAAUACCGGAUAAUAUAUUGAACCGCAUGGUUCAAUAGUGAAAGACGGUUUUGCUGUCACUUAUAGAUGGAUCCGCGCCGCAUUAGCUAGUUGGUAAGGUAACGGCUUACCAAGGCAACGAUGCGUAGCCGACCUGAGAGGGUGAACGGCCACACUGGAACUGAGACACGGUCCAGACUCCUACGGGAGGCAGCAGUAGGGAAGCUUCCGAAAUGGGCGAAAGCCUGACGGAGCAACGCCGCGUGAGUGAUGAAGGUCUUCGGAUCGUAAAACUCUGUUAUUAGGGAAGAACAAAUGUGUAAGUAACUAUGCACGUCGUGACGGUACCUAAUCAGAAAGCCACGGCUAACUACGUG
Molecule: ribosomal RNA, 497 nt
Filed under: uncultured bacterium
Lineage: Bacteria
Description: partial 16S ribosomal RNA
Rfam family: Bacterial small subunit ribosomal RNA
Source: RNAcentral